GGAGAGGUGGCCGAGUGGUUUAAGGCGCACGCUUGGAAAGCGUGUGUGGGGAAACUCACCGCGAGUUCGAAUCUCGCCCUCUCCG
Molecule: transfer RNA, 85 nt
Filed under: Candidatus Uhrbacteria bacterium RIFCSPHIGHO2_12_FULL_57_11
Lineage: Bacteria; Candidatus Uhriibacteriota
Description: tRNA-Ser
Rfam family: tRNA
About the family: Transfer RNA (tRNA) molecules are approximately 80 nucleotides in length.
Source: RNAcentral